AUUGAACGCUGGCGGCAGGCCUAACACAUGCAAGUCGAGCGGAUGAAGGGAGCUUGCUCCUGGAUUCAGCGGCGGACGGGUGAGUAAUGCCUAGGAAUCUGCCUGGUAGUGGGGGAUAACGUCCGGAAACGGGCGCUAAUACCGCAUACGUCCUGAGGGAGAAAGUGGGGGAUCUUCGGACCUCACGCUAUCAGAUGAGCCUAGGUCGGAUUAGCUAGUUGGUGGGGUAAAGGCCUACCAAGGCGACUAUCCGUAACUGGUCUGAGAGGAUGAUCAGUCACACUGGAACUGAGACACGGUCCAGACUCCUACGGGAGGCAGCAGUGGGGAAUAUUGGACAAUGGGCGAAAGCCUGAUACAGCCAUGCCGCGUGUGUGAAGAAGGUCUUCGGAUUGUAAAGCACUUUAAGUUGGGAGGAAGGGCAGUAAGUUAAUACCUUGCGGUUUUGACGUUACCAACAGAAUAAGCACCGGCUAACUUCGUG
Molecule: ribosomal RNA, 484 nt
Filed under: uncultured bacterium
Lineage: Bacteria
Description: partial 16S ribosomal RNA
Rfam family: Bacterial small subunit ribosomal RNA
Source: RNAcentral